UAGGGAAUCUUCCACAAUGGGCGCAGGCCUGAUGGAGCAACACCGCGUGAGUGAAGAAGGGUUUCGGCUCGUAAAGCUCUGUUGUUAAAGAAGAACACGUAUGAGAGUAACUGUUCAUACGUUGACGGUAUUUAACCAGAAAGUCACGGCUAACUACGUGCCAGCAGCCGCGGUAAUACGUAGGUGGCAAGCGUUAUCCGGAUUUAUUGGGCGUAAAGAGAGUGCAGGCGGUUUUCUAAGUCUGAUGUGAAAGCCUUCGGCUUAACCGGAGAAGUGCAUCGGAAACUGGAUAACUUGAGUGCAGAAGAGGGUAGUGGAACUCCAUGUGUAGCGAUGGAAUGCGUAGAUAUAUGGAAGAACACCAGUGGCGAAGGCGGCUACCUGGUCUGCAACUGACGCUGAGACUCGAAAGCAUGGGUAGCGAACAGGAUUAGAUACCCUGGUAGUCCAUACCGUAAACGAUGAGUGCUAGGUGUUGGAGGGUUUCCGCCCUUCAGUGCCGGAGCUAGCGCAUUAAGCACUCCGCCUGGGGAGUACGACCGCAAGGUUG
This 550-nucleotide ribosomal RNA is filed under the name uncultured bacterium. RNAcentral describes it as "bacterial SSU rRNA". It matches the Rfam family "Bacterial small subunit ribosomal RNA", at positions 355 to 896 of the family's 1533-position model. The record is from RNAcentral.